Molecule: long non-coding RNA, 390 nt
Organism: Ahaetulla prasina
Lineage: Eukaryota; Metazoa; Chordata; Lepidosauria; Squamata; Colubridae
Exons: 3
Source: RefSeq, a predicted model, not a curated record
CAAGUCCUCAAAGGGAAGGAUUCCAGAAGCAAGAGAGAGAGAGAGAGAGUUCCAGUUGGAUGUCCGGUGCGUGUGUGGUUUAAUAAGGAAGAACCAUGUUUAAAGGUCUUUUUUAAACCAGGAUUCCGUCAUCAGCCUUGGCAUCUGAUCAACAGAAUGACCAGCAGGCCAAGGUAACUGCUGUUCCUGUAUUGCUGUUGGGCAAAUGAGGAUGAGAAAAUACAGCAUUGCAGAAAGUUUGCACUUGUCAUUAGGAAGCCAAUAGAGAAGAAGUGACGUGAAAUCAAUUUGGAAGAGAGAUCCAGAUCAUAGAGGCCAUCCCUCAAGGGGUUUUGCUCUUAUGGAGGUUAAUUUUGUGCAUAACUUCUGCUCUCAAAGUUCUUAAAUAUG